Molecule: long non-coding RNA, 303 nt
Filed under: Nannospalax galili (Upper Galilee mountains blind mole rat)
Lineage: Eukaryota; Metazoa; Chordata; Mammalia; Rodentia; Spalacidae
Description: lncRNA (ENSNGAG00000024489.1)
Source: RNAcentral
CGAGAGCGCAGGCGCGGUUGCAGAGCCGGACAUAUAUAGUCCCGAUGCGGGCCGCUGUUCGUCCUUUCGCCCGGCUCCAGCGCGAGAGUUAGUGGCUGUGUGGUACUCGGUGUGUGUCUCUCCGCCCGACCCCGGCCGGCCCUGGCCCGCUGCUUCUUCCAAGGCUACGGGAUGCGGAGCGUAGCACGGAGUACCUCGGCCUACCCUCCUCGGUGGCGGAGGCCCUGCCGGCCCAGGACUGCCUCAUGCGCAGUGAGAUUUCCGAGCCUGCGGGGCCGCGCCCUUAACCGGCUCGCCCUGUAG